GACUAGUUAAUUCUCGCUAUAUUCUCGGCUCCUGAGAAGAAAAAUGGAACAAAAAGGAAAAGGGUGAGCUCAACUAGCCCAGUAAAGAAUAUUAUGACUAAGAUAAUGAACAACCAAUUAUCGUUAGCCUUCAACAAAUCAGAUAAAAUAUAAUAGAAAACAAGUUUUAGAUCAAUAUUCGCAGUGAAAAUAACAAUUCAUUAG
Molecule: long non-coding RNA, 204 nt
Filed under: Panax ginseng (ginseng)
Lineage: Eukaryota; Viridiplantae; Streptophyta; Magnoliopsida; Apiales; Araliaceae
Description: long non-coding RNA (PGIN_LNC003264)
Source: RNAcentral